Long non-coding RNA from Nerophis ophidion (straightnose pipefish), 1949 nucleotides. RefSeq lists it as uncharacterized. Lineage: Eukaryota; Metazoa; Chordata; Actinopteri; Syngnathiformes; Syngnathidae. The transcript is spliced from 8 exons. The record is from RefSeq and is a predicted model, not a curated record.
UUGUCAAAGUGACAUAUGGGGACAUUUUUAUGAAAUUUCACCUUACAUAUGAGGACCUGUUGAAAUAUGGGGACAUUUUCCAUGUCCCCAUAUUUCCCGCAAUGCUAUCGUGUUCUAGACCCUCCCAGCAUGUUCCCAGACCAAAAAUCUCUGAAGUCUUCAUUUGUCAAAUUUUCAGAAAAAGUGUGUGAAAGUGUGUUUAAUUUUUUUGCUCACCUUCGAUUUUGCCCCUAGUGGCCAUCUUUGCUAUUAUGACACACACACACACACACACUUGUCCUCAUAUGUCAUAUGUCCUCAUAUGUCAUGUGGGGCAGAAACUCACACACUCCAACAUUUUGAAAAACAUCUAACCAUUACAGCAAUAAACAUACUCUUGAAUUCUGAAUCAAAUAACAACACAUUUUCAACUGAUUUGAUGAUCUCAUCCUUUUUAGUGUUAGUUUUAUCUAUUAAUUUGGUUUAUCUGGAGAGGAUUUGGGCUAGACAAUUAGUAAUAAAGGGAUUAUGGUGAUGAUUUAAUUUGUUUGAUUCAGUAUUUUACUGUAUUGGACUUUUUGCUAUUCUGUUGACUAAAAUACAAUGCCGCACAAUAAUUGCUUUAAAUGUGCCUGAAAUGUAGGUUUUUGCAUAAAAAAAAACAACCUUCAACCUUGAUUGAGACAAAGGCAAUAAUUCAAAUGCAAUUCAAACUACACACAGUAUUUAAUAUUUUCAAAUGGUUACAAUAGCACAUUAUUUGGGUAUUUUUAUCUUUGGGGCAAAUUUAGGAUUAAUAUGGGGAUUGUUUUUGGAGGUAUUCACUUUACAUGGUGUUCAAGAUGGUUACUUCCACCCACUCUGAAGAGUCUCGGCGUCUGAUUGGUCCAAUUUUCAGUUAGGCGCCGCCUGAUUGGCCGCUGGACGAUGUCUGCUCCUAACAGAGGGCUAAAUCACUAGUUAACUAUUUUCAUCAUGGAAGUUAUACAGCUCAUGUAUCACACUUAAUAUUGAAUAUAUAUAUAAAAAGGGUUUUCCAAAAGGACCAUUUAUAAUCGAAAUACACAACUUCACACACGAUUUUGAGCACAACAGAGCGCUCAGUGAACAUCACUUCCGGGACCUGCAUCACCGGAGGGGGACAUCUAUCUUGGUCACAAACAAUCUUUGACAGUCUUCGACAGCAUGGUUGAAUCAGGCGCAUCAACACAUGAUAUAGACAUCGUGCCCAAAAGAAGAGCGAGACGUAAUCCUGAGGCUGAAGCCACCGAGUUUAUUUGAUCUGGAUGUGACAAGUCUUGUUUUAAGGCCCAGUGGAUCAAUGAUUGGAAAGACACCAACUGUUGAUGUUCUAUCUCAACAUUCUCCAGAUUCAUGUGAGCGAUAAACCGACUUCAUCCCUCCAACAGACACCAACUGUUGGGGUUCUAUCUCAACAUUCUCCAGAUUCAGAUGUGAGCGAUAAACCGACUUCAUCCCUCCAACAGAAACCAACUGUUGAGGUUCCAUCUCAACAUUCUCCGGAUUCAGAUGUGAGCCAUUAACUGACUUCAUCCCUCCAACAGAAACCAACUGUUUGAGGUUCUAUCUCAACAUUCUCUAGAUUCAGAUGACAGCCAUAAACCGACUUCAUCCCUCCAACAGAUUGACAGCAGGACAAAUCGCUGGAAGUGGGUAUGUCUCAAGCUUCUUCCACUUGGUCCACUCCAAAGCGGGCUGCCAAGGGGAAGAAGUGGAAGGAGUUGAAUGACACAUGUGGCAUUUUGUAACUGGCAACAAAGUACCAGGUAAAAAAGAUUGUGAAGCCUGCCUCCAUAAAGAACUAGUAGCUCUACAGGACAGAGAUUGGCUUGCCAUCAAGUACUACAUCCAUAACAGAAUUAUAUUAAAAAAAGGGAAAAAAAAUGUUUUCCCACAUCUGCUGUGGUAGUUUGAGUAUGUUACCAGCAAUUAAAAAAGCAAAAUAAACA